GAUGAACGCUGGCGGCGUGCCUAAUACAUGCAAGUCGAGCGAACAGAUGAGGAGCUUGCUCCUCUGACGUUAGCGGCGGACGGGUGAGUAACACGUGGAUAACCUACCUAUAAGACUGGGAUAACUUCGGGAAACCGGAGCUAAUACCGGAUAAUAUAUUGAACCGCAUGGUUCAAUAGUGAAAGACGGUUUUGCUGUCACUUAUAGAUGGAUCCGCGCCGCAUUAGCUAGUUGGUAAGGUAACGGCUUACCAAGGCAACGAUGCGUAGCCGACCUGAGAGGGUGGUCGGCCACACGGGAACAGAGACACGGCCCAGACUCCGACGGUAGGCAGCAGUAGGGAAUCUUCCGCAAUGGGGGAAAGCCUGACGGAGCAACGCCGCGUGAGUGAUGAAGGUCUUCGGAUCGUAAAGCUCUGUUAUUAGGGAAGAACAAAUGUGUAAGUACCUAUGCACGUCUUGACGGUACCGAAACAGAAAGCCACGGCUAACUACGUG
This 497-nucleotide ribosomal RNA is filed under the name uncultured bacterium. Its description in RNAcentral is "partial 16S ribosomal RNA". It matches the Rfam family "Bacterial small subunit ribosomal RNA", at positions 28 to 507 of the family's 1533-position model. The record is from RNAcentral.